RNAcentral lists this ribosomal RNA (140 nucleotides) under uncultured bacterium. Its description in RNAcentral is "partial 16S ribosomal RNA". It matches the Rfam family "Bacterial small subunit ribosomal RNA", at positions 355 to 509 of the family's 1533-position model. The record is from RNAcentral.
UGGGGAAUAUUGGGCAAUGGGCGAAAGCCUGACCCAGCAACGCCGCGUGAGGGAAGAAGGUCUUCGGAUUGUAAACCUUUGUCCUAUGGGACGAAACAAAUGACGGUACCAUAGGAGGAAGCUCCGGCUAACUACGUGCC